RNAcentral lists this ribosomal RNA (502 nucleotides) under uncultured bacterium. RNAcentral describes it as "bacterial SSU rRNA". It matches the Rfam family "Bacterial small subunit ribosomal RNA", at positions 30 to 504 of the family's 1533-position model. The record is from RNAcentral.
UGAACGCUGGCGGCGUGCUUAACACAUGCAAGUCGCACGAGAACGCUUCAGCUUGCUGAAGUAAGUAAAGUGGCGCACGGGUGAGUAACGCGUGGGUGAUCUACCCCCGAAUUGGGGAUAACCCGCCGAAAGGCGGGCUAAUACCGAAUGAUAUCUUGAAAAUUAAUGUUUUCAAGAUCAAAGGUGGCCUCUACAUGUAAGCUAUUGUUUGGGGAUGAGCCCGCGUACCAUUAGCUUGUUGGUAGGGUAAUGGCCUACCAAGGCUACGAUGGUUAGCUGGUCUGAGAGGAUGAUCAGCCACACUGGAACUGACACACGGUCCAGACUCCUACGGGAGGCAGCAGUGAGGAAUUUUGCGCAAUGGGGGAAACCCUGACGCAGCAACGCCGCGUGAGUGAUGAAGGCUUUCGGGUCGUAAAGCUCUGUCAAGUGGGAAGAACUCAUAUGGUGUUAAUACCGCCAUAUGCUGACGGUACCACUGAAGGAAGCACCGGCUAACUCC